Non-coding RNA from Vicugna pacos (alpaca), 1379 nucleotides. NCBI's taxonomy places the organism in Eukaryota, Metazoa, Chordata, Mammalia, Artiodactyla, Camelidae. The record is from RefSeq and is a predicted model, not a curated record.
CAUUAAUCUGCCCAAUUUGAAGUGAGGUGCCACGUCUGGGAUUUGGACUGAGUGAAUGUGGGCAGAUGUGGUACAGGUGCUUGGAGGCUGCAGAGGCUGCAGUCCUGGGACUCCUUAAGCAGAGCAGAGUGGUGUGGAUUAAAGGACUUGGACAGAAUUGGUGAGAGAGCUGAUGGCUGGAAAUGUGUGAUUGCCAGAACGCUGUGCUAAGCCGGAAGUGGGUCAGGAGCUGGAUCACCUAAUGUCCACAUAGGCUCUGAUUGCAAGCGAGAGGCAAACAGCCCAGGAAUAAGUAAAUAGAGAAAAAUGAAGGGCAAUCAUAUACAUCCUAUCAAUCCCGUGUGCUCCCAGCACGGUACCGCUCAGCAGGAGAGUCGCAGCUGCCCUCCUUCCCUGCCUUACACCUGGAGUGGGAGUCCUCCUUGGGGCUUUCAGGGAUCCUAUAAACUCCUGAAAUCACUGCAGCUAGGUAUUUUGUGUCUGAUAAGUGGACGUUAGCUUUUUUAAUACUAAAAAUAUUGAACGUUUCUAAAAAAAUCACUGUGCUGUCUCUUCCUGUAGGAAGACUCUACUUGUCAGCCCCCAUAUCCCUCAGCCAAGGAAAACAUGUAUAUGAUUCAGCAUCAUUUUCUCUAACACAAGAUGACGAGAAAACCCUCAGACCACAAUGGUUUCUGCUGGGAUAUCUUCUCAAAGUAUUUGCAUUUGUCAACAAAGGGUGGCAUAUUAAAGAAAAAAGUAGGAGAGACUUUUUCCUCAUAAUAAAGUUUGAGUCACUACUGGAUUUCUAGGAGUCAAAGUGUUAUAUUACGGGACACAUGACUGAAGGAAUGAAUGAAUCCAUGGACAAUGUCUACAUGAUUCCACCUCAGAGGACAGGUGGACAAGAUGGAUCAGUGACUCAAAAGACCCUGACAGAAUCAGGAACUGAAUAGAAGCAAGUGGAGACUGCCAGAAAAAACAGUCACCAUCGCACUGCUAGUCUGAAAUUCCACCUGACCCAAGAGUGGGUCUUCCACCUUCUUACUUCCAUAAAUGUGAUUUCCAUGGUAUAUGGUUAAUAGAAUGUGCUCUACCUGCCACCUGCCUGGGUUGGAUGCUGAUUCCUCAGCUGAUUUUGUGACCUUUGAACAAAUGCCCAGAGGAGCUCUAAGACCCCUGCGUGAGGAGUCUUCAGGAGUCCCAAGGCCAGGAUCAUUUCCAGGAGGGCAGCCUGGUGAGUGGAUUGCUCCCCAGGACUGGCAUGGACUUGUCAUAGGAUUGCAUAAGAAUACACUGCCAGAUGGUGCUGAUUCUGACUGGGGGAAACUAGAGAAUAAAGAAUUUUCAAAUGCACUGAUUGGAAAAUUGUAUAGAUAUACCUCUUCUUUAUUUAUUAU